UAGGGAAUCUUCGGCAAUGGACGGAANNUUGGACCGAGCAACGCCGGCGUGAGUGAAGAAGGUUUUCGGAUCGUAAAGCUCUGUUGUAAGAGAAGAACGAGUGUGAGAGUGGAAAGUUCACACUGUGACGGCAUCUUACCAGAAAGGGACGGCUAACUACGUGCCAGCAGCCGCGGUAAUACGUAGGCCCCGAGCGUUGUCCGGAUUUAUUGGGCGUAAAGCGAGCGCAGGCGGUUAGAUAAGUCUGAAGUUAAAGGCUGUGGCUUAACCAUAGUAGGCUUUGGAAACUGUUUAACUUGAGUGCAAGAGGGGAGAGUGGAAUUCCAUGUGUAGCGGUGAAAUGCGUAGAUAUAUGGAGGAACACCGGUGGCGAAAGCGGCUCUCUGGCUUGUAACUGACGCUGAGGCUCGAAAGCGUGGGGGAGGAAACAGGAUUAGAUACCCUGGUAGUCCACGCUGUAAACGAUGAGUGCUAGGUGUUAGACCCUUUCCGGGGUUUAGUGCCGUAGCUAACGCAUUAAGCACUCCGCCUGGGGAGUACGACCGCAAGGUUG
Molecule: ribosomal RNA, 553 nt
Filed under: uncultured bacterium
Lineage: Bacteria
Description: bacterial SSU rRNA
Rfam family: Bacterial small subunit ribosomal RNA
Source: RNAcentral